UUAAGCAUAUUAAUAAGCGGAGGAAGAGAAACUAACAAGGAUUCCCCCAGUAACGGCGAGCGAAGCGGGAACAGUUCGAGCCUGGAAUCCCCGGCAGUUUUGCCGGAGAAUUGUGGCCGGGAGAGGUAGCUUGUGCUGCGUUCGACGGCGCCGAAGUUGACCUGGAAGGGCACGUCGGAGAGGGUGACAACCCCGUGCACGGCCUCGGCGGGCGCAGCCGCUGCUGCCUUCGGAGAGUCGGGUUGUUUGGGAAUGCAGCCCAAAGUGGGUGGUAAACUCCAUCUAAAGCUAAAUAAAGGCACGAGACCGAUAGCAAACAAGUACCGUGAGGGAAAGGUGAAAAGUACUUUGAAAAGAGAGUCAAAGAGACCGCGAAACCGUUAGGAGGGAAACGAAUGCAGCCCGAUGGGCUUCGGUCGGGUUCAGGGGCUGCGGUACCGUCGGAGUGGUUGGGCGGACUCGUAGGGGCCGUCGUUCCUCUCCAGGGCGGUCUGCAACCCUGCACUCCCGAUCGGUAGCCGGCCAGCGUCGGUUCGGUUCGGCUCACGCGGAUGGUCGGGUAGGUGCCUCAAUGCGCCGUUUCGGCGUGCGCAGGGAGAACUUAGAGCCGAUCGUUCGGCAGUCGGACGGUUGAGGACCGAGGAGAUGUGCGACGCUUCGCACCGGCAGUGCAGGCUCGCCAUUCGGCGGGCCGGGUCUCUUCUGAUCGUUGGGUAGGCGCUGCUGGGACUGCUCGUCAGUGCCAGCUGACGUCCCGUCCUCUCGGUCGGGAGGUUGGCCACGCCUUGCGCUGCAGUCGCUGGCCGAAGGACGGCUGCAUCCGACCCGUCUU
Molecule: ribosomal RNA, 832 nt
Filed under: Desmanthus incrustans
Lineage: Eukaryota; Metazoa; Porifera; Demospongiae; Bubarida; Desmanthidae
Description: eukaryotic LSU rRNA
Rfam family: Eukaryotic large subunit ribosomal RNA
Source: RNAcentral